This 1346-nucleotide ribosomal RNA is filed under the name uncultured bacterium. Its description in RNAcentral is "bacterial SSU rRNA". It matches the Rfam family "Bacterial small subunit ribosomal RNA", at positions 38 to 1382 of the family's 1533-position model. The record is from RNAcentral.
AGCGACAGGCCUAACACAUGCAAGUCGAGGGGCAGCGCGGGAGAAGCUUGCUUUUCCUGGCGGCGACCGGCGCACGGGUGCGUAACAGGUGUGCAAUCUGUCCUAUACCAGAGCAUAGCCCAGCGAAAGUUGGAUUAAUUCUCUAUGUGAGCCGAGAGGGCAUCCUUUUGGUUUGAAACGUGAGGGUAUAGGGUGAGCACGCUUCUGAUUAGCUAGUUGGUGGGGUAACGGCUCACCAAGGCGACGAUCAGUAGGGGUUCUGAGAGGAAGGUCCCCCACAUUGGAACUGAGACACGGUCCAAACUCCUACGGGAGGCAGCAGUGAGGAAUAUUGGUCAAUGGUCGGAAGACUGAACCAGCCAAGUAGCGUGAAGGAUGAAGGUUCUAUGGAUUGUAAACUUCUUUUAUACGGGAAUAAAACCACCUACGUGUAGGUGCUUGUAUGUACCGUAUGAAUAAGCAUCGGCUAACUCCGUGCCAGCAGCCGCGGUAAUACGGAGGAUGCGAGCGUUAUCCGGAUUUAUUGGGUUUAAAGGGAGCGUAGACGGGAUGUUAAGUCAGUUGUGAAAGGCUGCGGCUCAACCGCAGCACUGCAGUUGAUACUGGCGUCCUUGAGUGCGGUUGAGGUGUGUGGAAUUCGUGGUGUAGCGGUGAAAUGCUUAGAUAUCACGAAGAACUCCGAUUGCGAAGGCAGCACACUAAGCCGCUACUGACGUUGAGGCUCGAAAGUGUGGGUAUCAAACAGGAUUAGAUACCCUGGUAGUCCACACGGUAAACGAUGAAUACUCGCUGUUGGCGAUACAUUGUCAGCGGCCAAGCGAAAGCAUUAAGUAUUCCACCUGGGGAGUACGCCGGCAACGGUGAAACUCAAAGGAAUUGACGGGGGCCCGCACAAGCGGAGGAACAUGUGGUUUAAUUCGAUGAUACGCGAGGAACCUUGCCCGGGCUUAAAUUGCAGAGGACAGGCGCAGAGAUGUGCUCUUCUUCGGACCUCUGUGAAGGUGCUGCAUGGUUGUCGUCAGCUCGUGCCGUGAGGUGUCGGCUUAAGUGCCAUAACGAGCGCAACCCUUGCCAUUAGUUACUAACAGGUUAUGCUGAGGACUCUAGUGGGACUGCCAUCGUAAGAUGUGAGGAAGGUGGGGAUGACGUCAAAUCAGCACGGCCCUUACGUCCGGGGCUACACACGUGUUACAAUGGGAGGUACAGAAGGCCGCUACCCGGCGACGGGACGCUAAUCCCCAAAACCUCUCUCAGUUCGGAUUGGAGUCUGCAACCCGACUCCAUGAAGCUGGAUUCGCUAGUAAUCGCGCAUCAGCCACGGCGCGGUGAAUACGUUCCCGGGCCUU